GAACAGAACAAGUGUUAAGUGCAUCCCUGUUCACAGCAGAGAGGGUGUACUUGAAUUAUUCUGCCAAGACUCUAGAGAAGUCCCUAGGACACUAACACUUCCAAUGCUUAGGUUUGGAAGGGCUUGGUUCUCUCAUGCACACACAUUUCAUUCUAAUCUUCCACAAUCCUGGUGUUUGAAAGUGUCUUUCAAAUAGGCUGUUUCCUAUUUGACUCCCUGUGUAUAUUCCACUCCUGCUCUGCAGUAACACUCCAUCAUACACACGUGCACAAGCACACACUCACACGUACCCACACAUGCACACAGUUGUACAUGCACAAAUACACCGUCAUGACAUUCAUUUUUAAUCUCUUAUGGCUUUAUGAAUUUCAUAGCUCUUUUUUAGAAUGUUUUUCUAUAAGAUUCAAGUUAAUUUUAAAAAUGAAAACAAGGGGAAAGUAGGUCUCAACAGGCCCAUAAAAAUCAGAACUGCAAUUCAGAUAAUCAGACACCAAGGCGGGCUGCAAUAUAAUAAAUACAUUCUUAAUGAAUGUUUACACACUUUGGGAUAUACGGUAAACAAUCAACUCUAAUUGGAGCUCCAAAUUAAAUGAAAAAAUGUAUAGUUUGUCAUUAGUUAUUAGAUACUUACAAAGCCAAGGUAAAAUUCAAAUUUGGCCAACUGCUGUUUGAACUUAAUCUCCCCAUAUACUUGUUAUUAUUAACAAUUCAUUUUCUGUCUAGGUCAAACUAGAUAUGUACUACGUACUAAUAAUGAUCAAAAUAUAUAUCUCCCCCCUUCUUGGUUCUGCUUUUUUGGGUUUUUUUUAGCUCAGCAGUAUAAUAUAUACUUUCCCUUUGCCAAUCUGAAAGGAUACAAGGAAAGAGCUCAGGACUGACCCAGGAGUAUGUUUUUAGCUCCUAAACCAGACUGUAAAUUCCUUGACACCAGGGAUCAUAUAUCUUUCCCAUAGGACCCAGCCAAGGGCUGACACAUACUAGCAUCCCAAGGCACUCUUGUUAAUCUAUAUGCCCUGAGAUGGUCAUCAUGGCAGGAGUUAUAAAAGCCGGCAGUGGAACGAACCUAGUUUUCAAAAACAGGAAAGGUUAAUUAAAUGAUGUUAUAUCCCUUAGAGAAAUAUCUCAAAGCCAUUAAAAUGUACUUGUAAUUAGGAAGAAUUUCUAAUGAUGGAGAAAUAUGUUAUAUGUUGAAAGCAAAAGGAAGGAUAUAAAAUUAAAUGAGGACAAUUUUUUUAAGUCUAAAAAUAGGAAAGAAAAACUUUGUAAGGAAGCACAUGAAAAUGUCUGCAAUGGUUGUUUGAUCCCUGGGGAUGCAAAAGAGAUUUUUUUCCUCUAUUUUCUUGUUUCUCUCCCUGCACCCCUCCUACUCACAUCAACCCAAAAAUUAUUUACAACAUGUUACUUUCAAAAGAAAACAAACAAAAAAACUGAUUAAAAUAAGUAAAUUCUUACUAAUUGAUUCCCUAGAGCUGGCACUACUCACUAAACCCAAGGGAGUCAAGGCCAUGUGGAUCUUGUUGCACUUCUUGUCGGGAAGGCAACCAACUGUGAAUUUCUCCAAUUCUGCCAUGGCACACAUAGGCAUGCUCACAUGUGUGUGUAAGGUUGGCAAGGCCAAUGGAUGAGCAAUUGGUGUGAAAGCAGGAAUAUUUACUGAAGUCCAACGAGAUGGGGAAACUAAGACACAGAAAGAUGAAGAAACAUUUCCAAAGUCAUCCAGUAAUUAGCAGAAACAGGAUUUGAACUGAGCAGGGGUAGCAGAGAACAGCAAGCACAGCAAAACUUCUCAGAGAAAAACUAAAAAAUCAGUCUCCUCACCACAACCUCCUCUGCUCUGAGUCCACAGAAUGGAGUUAACCAGUUAGGAAUGGGACUCCAUACAGCCAAGGUAACCUGGAUAAACUGCAUAGCUCAACUGAAUCUGGAAUGUGUUCCUUAAGACUCUGUAUUUUCAAUGAAUGAAGGCUCCUUCAUGUUGUCUCCUGUAAAGAUGGGUUCAAUGGAAGGAUACAAAGCCAUAGAAACCAAGAAAAGUUGAACCAGUAGCCUUCACAAACACCCAGGAACUGUAGUGUAGGUAGGUAUUGCUGGAAGUAGAAAUGGAUUCCAGGCAGCUCUAGGGAAUUUUGGCAGCAAGAGUCUGUGGUUGAGACUAAGUAGACAUUAAUGACUGCCAUUAAUAAGACUCAGCCACUUUGACCUGUUGGACUUUUUCUAUCUCUCCCUUUUGGCUUCUUCACCUACUUCUUUCUGCAUAACUCUUCUCUACUUCAUGGCUUCUGCUUACUCAUAGUCUCUGUUCCAUCAUAACUUGAGCUUGUACAAGGACCAUCACGACCUCUUUAGCCAUUGAUCAUACCAUUAACCUUCAAUUUUGGCUUCUUCUGUUACUUAAUUUCCUACUUCAAAUGCUCUCAGCUGAUUUGUCCAGCUCCUCUUUUUCUAUCAAGUCAUGUCAAGACAAGCCUAUAGAAUAACUAUCCUUGAGUUAAAUGCUCACCCCUGUCCAAUCAACUGUGGCUGAAUGAUGGAGAGAGAACUCUGAUGAUCCACAUAGGGCGUCCCCAUCCAUCAGGGACCAGAAAGCACAGGACAACUUCUUGCAGAAAAUCUUUGUCAGGCAUUCUAGGCUUGGCUUGUUUGGUCAUAACCUUAGUUCAGUACACUAAUGUAGAUAAAUUAGUAUGAAUGCUACUAGGCAAAAUUAAAACACAAAAUAAAAAAAGAGAGAAAUCCCCCAAGGUUUAUCUAAUCCAGUAUUAAAUCUCUGAAAAAAAUACCAAAGGAUGUUUUAUAACAUGACAUAUUGAUCUUCCAUGAACUUUCAAUUCUCUCCUCUGAGGAUCCAAUAAGAUAUACAUCAAAGCCUCUCUUUCUGUCUUUUCUGUGUCUUUUUCAUAUUUUAUAUCUCAUUAACUCUCUAUAUCACAUUCUAGGUGAGCUCCUUAGAUCUAUCUUCCAAUCCACUAGCCCUCUCUUUAGCUAUGUCUAGUCUACUUGUUUGUUGAGGUGUUUUUCUUUUUUUCAAUUCAAUGACUUUUUUCUUUUCUAGCAUUUCUAUUUGGUUCUAUUUCAGAUUCUCCUUGUUUUUUCUCUUGUGGAAUUCUUUUUUAUCUUUCAAUUGUUUAGACAUGCUUAUCUUAAAGUUCCUUUAAGAUUUCUCUAUUUUAUUUGGGUUUUCAGUUUACUUUGUUGCUUCUAUUGAUGGAUUUUAAGGUGGUGGGUACUUAAGUGCUCUGCAAUUUUUGCUGGUGAGCUCUUCAUAAGAGGUCCAUGGUGUUUUGUUGCAAAAAAAAAAAAAAAAAAAAAUCUAAUAGGAUUACUUUUUCAGUUGCUUCUGCCAGAGCCCUAAAGAGUUCAAUGAUUCUGGACUAGUUUCUGAGAUCUUUUCUCAGUUCAGGGUUUCCACAGGGAGAAAGCAGUGCAAAUUUGGACCCAUACAAAGGAAAGAUGACAGCUCUAGGCUUACUUCUGGUGGAUUACUAUUUCCACUCAUGACAUGGUGUGGGCAGCUACUUCCUAUAACAACUUGCAGGUAGUUUUCCUGCCUGGUUCACCAGUGCUGCAGCAAUUUGCCAGCUCCAAGUUUUACUUGGUGAGCCUAAUUCCAGUUUCAUGUCUUGAAUAGGGUAUGUAACUUUGACUCCUAUCCCCAGGCAGGUUACAGCCCUAGCCCCUAGUGUCUAUGUGGCUUUGGCUAUUGGUUUCUUAUAUAUUUCUGGCACUGGAAAAUUUUCCUCUCUUACUUUUUUGCUGAAAUAUGAGUUUAAUUUAUAUAUGGUAUAUAAAAUAUAUAUUUUUAAUCCAACAUAUCUAUGUGUUUGCAGCGGGAGGAGAGGAAUUCCACAUCUGCCCAGGCGUUUUGUUUUCCCACAUUGUCUUAGUUUAAAAACCUGCCCUAUUUUCCUUUUAUAACUCUUUAUAGAAUUAUCAUCCCCAAAUUUAUUUACUUUGCUUAAGUCUCUUUUUUUCUAGUUAGACUACCUCCUGGAUAAGUGUUUGGUGUAAGCAGAACAGUAUUUUCCAACACCUUUACGGAUGUGUCAAGAACUUUAUAUGCUAACGUCUCUCAAUAAGAAUAGGCUACAGGGGGGCUGGCCCCGUGGCGGAGAGGUUAAGUUCUGGCGCUCCGCUGCAAGCGGCCCAGUGUUUCGUUGGUUC
Equus caballus (horse) is the source of this 4161-nucleotide non-coding RNA. NCBI's taxonomy places the organism in Eukaryota, Metazoa, Chordata, Mammalia, Perissodactyla, Equidae. The record is from RefSeq and is a predicted model, not a curated record.